GGUUAAGCGACUAAGCGUACACGGUGGAUGCCCUGGCAGUCAGAGGCGAUGAAGGGCGUGCUAAUCUGCGAUAAGCGCCGGUAAGGUGAUAUGAACCGUUAUAACCGGCGAUACCCGAAUGGGGAAACCCAGUGUGACUCGUCACACUAUCAUUAACUGAAUCCAUAGGUUAAUGAGGCGAACCGGGGGAACUGAAACAUCUAAGUACCCCGAGGAAAAGAAAUCAACCGAGAUUCCCCCAGUAGCGGCGAGCGAACGGGGAGGAGCCCAGAGCCUGAAUCAGCAUGUGUGUUAGUGGAAGCGUCUGGAAAGGCGCGCGAUACAGGGUGACAGCCCCGUACACAAAAGCGCAUGUGCUGUGAGCUCGAUGAGUAGGGCGGGACACGUGGUAUCCUGUCUGAAUAUGGGGGGACCAUCCUCCAAGGCUAAAUACUCCUGACUGACCGAUAGUGAACCAGUACCGUGAGGGAAAGGCGAAAAGAACCCCGGCGAGGGGAGUGAAAAAGAACCUGAAACCGUGUACGUACAAGCAGUGGGAGCACCCUUUGGGGUGUGACUGCGUACCUUUUGUAUAAUGGGUCAGCGACUUAUAUUCUGUAGCAAGGUUAACCGAAUAGGGGAGCCGGAGGGAAACCGAGUCUUAAUUGGGCGUUAAGUUGCAGGGUAUAGACCCGAAACCCGGUGAUCUAGCCAUGGGCAGGUUGAAGGUUGGGUAACACUAACUGGAGGACCGAACCGACUAAUGUUGAAAAAUUAGCGGAUGACCUGUGGCUGGGGGUGAAAGGCCAAUCAAACCGGGAGAUAGCUGGUUCUCCCCGAAAGCUAUUUAGGUAGCGCCUCGUGAACUCAUCUCCGGGGGUAGAGCACUGUUUCGGCUAGGGGGCCAUCCCGGCUUACCAACCCGAUGCAAACUGCGAAUACCGGAGAAUGUUAUCACGGGAGACACACGGCGGGUGCUAACGUCCGUCGUGAAGAGGGAAACAACCCAGACCGCCAGCUAAGGUCCCAAAGUCAUGGUUAAGUGGGAAACGAUGUGGGAAGGCCCAGACAGCCAGGAUGUUGGCUUAGAAGCAGCCAUCAUUUAAAGAAAGCGUAAUAGCUCACUGGUCGAGUCGGCCUGCGCGGAAGAUGUAACGGGGCUAAACCAUGCACCGAAGCUGCGGCAGCGACACUGUGUGUUGUUGGGUAGGGGAGCGUUCUGUAAGCCUGUGAAGGUGGCCUGUGAGGGUUGCUGGAGGUAUCAGAAGUGCGAAUGCUGACAUAAGUAACGAUAAAGCGGGUGAAAAGCCCGCUCGCCGGAAGACCAAGGGUUCCUGUCCAACGUUAAUCGGGGCAGGGUGAGUCGACCCCUAAGGCGAGGCCGAAAGGCGUAGUCGAUGGGAAACGGGUUAAUAUUCCCGUACUUGGUGUUACUGCGAAGGGGGGACGGAGAAGGCUAUGUUGGCCGGGCGACGGUUGUCCCGGUUUAAGCGUGUAGGUGUGUGUUCCAGGUAAAUCCGGUUCACUUUAACACUGAGGCGUGAUGACGAGGCACUACGGUGCUGAAGCAACAAAUGCCCUGCUUCCAGGAAAAGCCUCUAAGCAUCAGGUAACAUCAAAUCGUACCCCAAACCGACACAGGUGGUCAGGUAGAGAAUACCAAGGCGCUUGAGAGAACUCGGGUGAAGGAACUAGGCAAAAUGGUGCCGUAACUUCGGGAGAAGGCACGCUGACACGUAGGUGAAGUGAUUUACUCACGGAGCUGAAGUCAGUCGAAGAUACCAGCUGGCUGCAACUGUUUAUUAAAAACACAGCACUGUGCAAACACGAAAGUGGACGUAUACGGUGUGACGCCUGCCCGGUGCCGGAAGGUUAAUUGAUGGGGUCAGCGCAAGCGAAGCUCCUGAUCGAAGCCCCGGUAAACGGCGGCCGUAACUAUAACGGUCCUAAGGUAGCGAAAUUCCUUGUCGGGUAAGUUCCGACCUGCACGAAUGGCGUAAUGAUGGCCAGGCUGUCUCCACCCGAGACUCAGUGAAAUUGAACUCGCUGUGAAGAUGCAGUGUACCCGCGGCAAGACGGAAAGACCCCGUGAACCUUUACUAUAGCUUGACACUGAACAUUGAGCCUUGAUGUGUAGGAUAGGUGGGAGGCUUUGAAGUGUGGACGCCAGUCUGCAUGGAGCCGACCUUGAAAUACCACCCUUUAAUGUUUGAUGUUCUAACGUGGACCCGUAAUCCGGGUUGCGGACAGUGUCUGGUGGGUAGUUUGACUGGGGCGGUCUCCUCCUAAAGAGUAACGGAGGAGCACGAAGGUUGGCUAAUCCUGGUCGGACAUCAGGAGGUUAGUGCAAUGGCAUAAGCCAGCUUGACUGCGAGCGUGACGGCGCGAGCAGGUGCGAAAGCAGGUCAUAGUGAUCCGGUGGUUCUGAAUGGAAGGGCCAUCGCUCAACGGAUAAAAGGUACUCCGGGGAUAACAGGCUGAUACCGCCCAAGAGUUCAUAUCGACGGCGGUGUUUGGCACCUCGAUGUCGGCUCAUCACAUCCUGGGGCUGAAGUAGGUCCCAAGGGUAUGGCUGUUCGCCAUUUAAAGUGGUACGCGAGCUGGGUUUAGAACGUCGUGAGACAGUUCGGUCCCUAUCUGCCGUGGGCGCUGGAGAACUGAGGGGGGCUGCUCCUAGUACGAGAGGACCGGAGUGGACGCAUCACUGGUGUUCGGGUUGUCAUGCCAAUGGCACUGCCCGGUAGCUAAAUGCGGAAGAGAUAAGUGCUGAAAGCAUCUAAGCACGAAACUUGCCCCGAGAUGAGUUCUCCCUGAGACUUAGAGUCUCCUGAAGGAACGUUGAAGACGACGACGUUGAUAGGCCGGGUGUGUAAGCGCAGCGAUGCGUUGAGCUAACCGGUACUAAUGAACCGUGAGGCUUAACCUU
This 2905-nucleotide ribosomal RNA is filed under the name Salmonella enterica subsp. enterica serovar Goldcoast. RNAcentral's name for it is "23S ribosomal RNA". It matches the Rfam family "Bacterial large subunit ribosomal RNA". The record is from RNAcentral. Lineage: Bacteria; Pseudomonadati; Pseudomonadota; Gammaproteobacteria; Enterobacterales; Enterobacteriaceae.